AGAAAAUAAUUUGAAAAAUAAACUUUUCUCUUUUUUCAGUGAGUGCAUUGGUCUUGCAAAAUUUGAAGAAAAUGGCUGUUCUUCAUUGAUAAACAAGUUUAUAAUUCUAACUUCUCUGAAGUGCAUUAGAGUCUCCUAGAACCGAGAUGUGUCUUCCCUGAAGGGCCCACUCUACUCUCAGCUGCCAUGCUAAGUGUGAAAAUACAGAAGUGAAGGCACAUGGUUUUUGCCCAAGAGCUGGAGUUCUUAGUCGCAUAUACACAGUAUGGUGAUUGACAGCUGGAUUGACUCCCCACCCUGACUUUCUGUGCCUAGAGAGACAGCAGAUCCAGACAUCUGACCAAAAGGCCCUCAGCUACAACCACUACAGUGCAGGUGACUGAUGAAGAUGAAGCUGGUAGAGAAAGUGAGGUUGAGGAGGAUAGCAGCAGAGAGCAGGUGCUGGCUGAGAUGGUAAAUGGAGGCCCUUGAAGGUGAGGUGACUUGCUGUAGCCCUAAGGCAUGGAAGCAGGAAUAGAAUACAGUGGCCCUGCCAGUCCUGAGUCCUGGUCUCCUCAAGUUCUGCCU
Long non-coding RNA from Talpa occidentalis (Iberian mole), 567 nucleotides. RefSeq lists it as uncharacterized. The record is from RefSeq and is a predicted model, not a curated record. The transcript is spliced from 4 exons. NCBI's taxonomy places the organism in Eukaryota, Metazoa, Chordata, Mammalia, Eulipotyphla, Talpidae.